This 160-nucleotide small nuclear RNA is filed under the name Salmo salar (Atlantic salmon). Its description in RNAcentral is "U1 spliceosomal RNA". It matches the Rfam family "U1 spliceosomal RNA". From Rfam's summary of the family: U1 is a small nuclear RNA (snRNA) component of the spliceosome (involved in pre-mRNA splicing). Its 5' end forms complementary base pairs with the 5' splice junction, thus defining the 5' donor site of an intron. There are significant differences in sequence and secondary structure between metazoan and yeast U1 snRNAs, the latter being much longer (568 nucleotides as compared to 164 nucleotides in human). The record is from Rfam by way of RNAcentral. Lineage: Eukaryota; Metazoa; Chordata; Actinopteri; Salmoniformes; Salmonidae.
AUACUUACCUGGCAAGGGAGACACCGUGAUCAAGAAGGCGGUUCACCCAGGGCGAGGCUCAGCCAUUGCACUCCGGCUGUGCUGACCCCUGCGAAUUUCCCAAAUGUGGAAAUCUCGAUUGCAUAAUUUCUGGUAGUGGGGACUGCAUUCGCACUCCCCC